Molecule: ribosomal RNA, 450 nt
Filed under: uncultured bacterium
Lineage: Bacteria
Description: partial 16S ribosomal RNA
Rfam family: Bacterial small subunit ribosomal RNA
Source: RNAcentral
GUGGGGAAUAUUGGACAAUGGGCGAAAGCCUGAUCCAGCCAUGCCGCGUGUGUGAAGAAGGUCUUCGGAUUGUAAAGCACUUUAAGUUGGGAGGAAGGGCAUUAACCUAAUACGUUAGUGUUUUGACGUUACCGACAGAAUAAGCACCGGCUAACUUCGUGCCAGCAGCCGCGGUAAUACGAAGGGUGCAAGCGUUAAUCGGAAUUACUGGGCGUAAAGCGCGCGUAGGUGGUUCGUUAAGUUGGAUGUGAAAGCCCCGGGCUCAACCUGGGAACUGCAUCCAAAACUGGCGAGCCAGAGUACGGUAGAGGGUGGUGGAAUUUCCUGUGUAGCGGUGAAAUGCGUAGAUAUAGGAAGGAACACCAGUGGCGAAGGCGACCACCUGGACUGAUACUGACACUGAGGUGCGAAAGCGUGGGGAGCAAACAGGAUUAGAUACCCCGGUAGUCC